RNAcentral lists this ribosomal RNA (344 nucleotides) under uncultured Enterobacteriaceae bacterium. RNAcentral describes it as "bacterial SSU rRNA". It matches the Rfam family "Bacterial small subunit ribosomal RNA", at positions 20 to 358 of the family's 1533-position model. Lineage: Bacteria; Pseudomonadati; Pseudomonadota; Gammaproteobacteria; Enterobacterales; Enterobacteriaceae. The record is from RNAcentral.
UGGCUCAGAACGAACGCUGGCGGCAGGCCUAACACAUGCAAGUCGAACGGUAACAGGGAAGAAGCUUGCUUCUUUGCUGACGAGUGGCGGACGGGUGAGUAAUGUCUGGGAAACUGCCUGAUGGAGGGGGAUAACUACUGGAAACGGUAGCUAAUACCGCAUAACGUCGCAAGACCAAAGAGGGGGACCUUCGGGCCUCUUGCCAUCGGAUGUGCCCAGAUGGGAUUAGCUAGUAGGUGGAUGUAACGGCUCACCUGGGAGACGAUCCCUAGCUGGUCUGAGAGGAUGACCAGCCACACNGUAACUGAGACACGGGACCGACUCCUACGGGAGUCAGCAGUGGG